ACCGUAACACUUCUACUCAUCCGAGGAGUUCGUGUUCUGAGAUUGUGUAUGCUCGAAGGACCCUGCAUGCAGAUCAUAUUGUUAUUGAGGGUGAUUCUGCCAUGAUGGUGUUUUGGAUUUAGGGAUGCAUACAGGAAGUUGUUACACAUCAUAUCCUAUGGGACAACUCCAUUUUGUUAUCGGGAUGUGUAGGUCUUUGUAUUAAGCACAU
Molecule: long non-coding RNA, 211 nt
Filed under: Elaeis guineensis (African oil palm)
Lineage: Eukaryota; Viridiplantae; Streptophyta; Magnoliopsida; Arecales; Arecaceae
Description: long non-coding RNA (EGUI_LNC015365)
Source: RNAcentral